RNAcentral lists this ribosomal RNA (229 nucleotides) under uncultured bacterium. RNAcentral describes it as "partial 16S ribosomal RNA". It matches the Rfam family "Bacterial small subunit ribosomal RNA", at positions 568 to 796 of the family's 1533-position model. The record is from RNAcentral.
UGCGUAGGCGGAAUAAUAAGUCAGUGGUGAAAUCCUGUGGCUCAACCACAGAACUGCCAUUGAUACUGUUAUUCUUGAAUAUAGUUGAGGUAGGCGGAAUGUGUAAUGUAGCGGUGAAAUGCUUAGAUAUUACACAGAACACCGAUUGCGAAGGCAGCUUGCUAAACUAUUAUUGGCGCUGAGGCACGAAAGCGUGGGGAGCGAACAGGAUUAGAUACCCUGGUAGUCC